Ornithodoros turicata is the source of this 703-nucleotide long non-coding RNA. RefSeq lists it as uncharacterized. The transcript is spliced from 4 exons. The record is from RefSeq and is a predicted model, not a curated record. NCBI's taxonomy places the organism in Eukaryota, Metazoa, Arthropoda, Arachnida, Ixodida, Argasidae.
CUACUUUCGUAGCCUGAGCAUACGUUUCUUGUCGUCCGCCAUUUUCUUCCCGUAUUUUUGGCCAUUUGUCUCCGUUUGUGACCUGUGCUGCAACUAAGCUCCCUAUGAUCUCUUCGGCUGUUCGUAAGUGGAGGCAGUGGAGGCGUUUGUUCCAACCGCCAGCAAGCUAGUUAGUCGGCUUUGAAACGAGGAAGCGCAUGGACGCAGCUAUGCAUCUCAAGCAAAUACCGCCUGACAUUCAGGAUUUUCGUCGCAUUUGAGGUAUUUUGUGGGUCGGAAGGUAGAAUGCUGCGAGAUCGUUAUAGCAACUGUGCUUUGAGCAAACGGUUAAACUCGUAAGAAGCGGGAAGCACGCAUUGGAUGCGAGUUCGUGGUCGUAACCCAUUCUCGUCUCGACGAAGUUGGAUGGUGCUUUUACGCAAGAAAUCCAACGCGUUCCCAAGGUGCAAAACAUGAACUUGGCAUAGUCACAUGAAGAAAUUUUUUGGUCGUCGCAUAUUAGAGAUUUCAAGUAUGUGUACAAUGCAUUGAACGCUUUUACGGCAGUGUGCAUGGAUGUCGCGCGGAUGCCAUUUCAAAAGUACAUAAGAACUGAUUCAAGUUCCUUGGUUUAUUAUUUGUGUGAUAUCUAGCGAUGGCUUGAUUCAUCUGUGUUUCGUAUUGAAAGCUUCCCAAGUGAUCUCAAUAAAGAAUGGAAAGCACA